Molecule: signal recognition particle RNA, 98 nt
Filed under: Bifidobacteriaceae bacterium
Lineage: Bacteria; Bacillati; Actinomycetota; Actinomycetes; Bifidobacteriales; Bifidobacteriaceae
Description: signal recognition particle sRNA small type
Rfam family: Bacterial small signal recognition particle RNA
About the family: The signal recognition particle (SRP) is a universally conserved ribonucleoprotein involved in the co-translational targeting of proteins to membranes.
Source: RNAcentral
GUAAUGGCUCUAUACGGUGCGGAAAAAGCCUAAUCCCCCAGGGCAGAAAUGCAGCAAGGGUAAGCUUUUCUUCUGCAGGUGUAUAGAGCUUUUAAUUU